GACGAACGCUGGCGGCGUGCUUAACACAUGCAAGUCGAACGGAAAGGCCCUGCUUUUGUGGGGUGCUCGAGUGGCGAACGGGUGAGUAACACGUGAGUAACCUGCCCUUGACUUUGGGAUAACUUCAGGAAACUGGGGCUAAUACCGGAUAGGAGCUCCUGCUGCAUGGUGGGGGUUGGAAAGUUUCGGCGGUUGGGGAUGGACUCGCGGCUUAUCAGCUUGUUGGUGGGGUAGUGGCUUACCAAGGCUUUGACGGGUAGCCGGCCUGAGAGGGUGACCGGCCACAUUGGGACUGAGAUACGGCCAAGACUCCUACGGGAGGCAGCAGUGGGGAAUAUUGCACAAUGGGCGGAAGCCUGAUGCAGCAACGCCGCGUGCGGGAUGACGGCCUUCGGGUUGUAAACCGCUUUCGCCUGUGACGAAGCGUGAGUGAGGGUAAUGGGUAAAGAAGCACCGGCUAACUACGUG
RNAcentral lists this ribosomal RNA (468 nucleotides) under uncultured bacterium. RNAcentral describes it as "partial 16S ribosomal RNA". It matches the Rfam family "Bacterial small subunit ribosomal RNA", at positions 28 to 507 of the family's 1533-position model. The record is from RNAcentral.